This 23-nucleotide microRNA is filed under the name Homo sapiens (human). RNAcentral describes it as "hsa-miR-5003-5p". Lineage: Eukaryota; Metazoa; Chordata; Mammalia; Primates; Hominidae. The record is from miRBase by way of RNAcentral.
UCACAACAACCUUGCAGGGUAGA